UUAUCAAUAAGCGGAGGAAAAGAUACCAACAGGGAUUGCCCUAGUAACGGCGAGUGAACAGGCAAGAGCUCAGAUUUGAAAGGCACUUUUGUGCCGUUGUAUUCUGAAGUUAGGGUCCUGAGAAACGAUGCUUAAGUCUUCUGGAAAGGAGCGCCAUGGAGGGUGAUAGCCCCGUCUAGCAUUGACCUCAUAUAGGAUCUUAACAUGGAGUCGAGUUGUUUGGGAAUGCAGCUCAAAUGGGUGGUAUGCUCCAUCUAAAGCUAAAUAUCUGCGAGAGACCGAUAGUAAACAAGUACUGUGAGGGAAAGAUGAAAAGAACUUUGAAAAGAGAGUGAAAAAGUACGUGAAAUUGUUGAAAUGGAAGGGUAGGCCGCUAACCAUGUAGAGCCGUGUUUGGGGGGAAGAUAAAUGCUGUAGAAUGUAGCUCCUCGGAGUAUUAUAGAUGCAGUUCAUAUUCCCACCCGAGUCGGCGAGGAUCUCAGGUUCUACAUAAGUGGGCUAAUCACUCUGCUAUU
RNAcentral lists this ribosomal RNA (515 nucleotides) under Starmerella bacillaris. RNAcentral's name for it is "partial large subunit ribosomal RNA". It matches the Rfam family "Eukaryotic large subunit ribosomal RNA", at positions 40 to 518 of the family's 3401-position model. Lineage: Eukaryota; Fungi; Ascomycota; Dipodascomycetes; Dipodascales; Trichomonascaceae. The record is from RNAcentral.